GAGCCUGGUCCUAGGUGAAGUGAGAGGAGUUGGCUGCUGACCCUCAACACAUGAAGUCAAAGGGAACCAUUGUACACCCAGAGCUGGUGGUGUCGUCUUCAGUGACUAGGAGCUCCAAGAAGCAACCUGACCUCUAUUAGACCCAACAGCUAGUAGGUGGCAGAGCUGCAAUGAAUGUGACAUCCACCGGACUCCAAGCCCGGCACUGAAGGUAGCCCUUGUGGCCAGGAGCUGCUCCCCAGCCCUGCCCUCAACUCUAGUGGCACCAAACUCUUCCCCGCAAGGCACUGCCCAAUUGUCAUGUAUUCGGUUUUUAUCAGCUUAUAGUCUUCCUCACAAUGGAUAAAAGUGCUUCCCAACACUUCAUACUGCUGUUCUUUAAAAUUUCUGCCAAUCUGAGGGGUCUCUUCCCCUGGGAGUGGACCGAGCAUGUUGGCAGGGCCGAUGCGUGAUGGCCUGCAUCUCAGCCCGCCAGGGGGGAAACCAGAGUUGGCCCAGCAAGGUCGCGGCAGGUGGUAAGGAGCUGUCUGCUCCCCAGGAUCCUCAGGGAAAAAUGCAGACAGAACUUCACCUCGGGAAGGCUGAUUUCCAAGCUGACCUGUUUACGAUGGCAACAGCCACGGAGCAUCUGCGGCCAUCUCCUCCUGGAACUCAUCAAUGCCGGUCUCCCUGGAAAGAAGGAGAAGCCCAGGUCACCUGGGCAGGUGCGAUGAUGGGUCCCAGGUCGAGCCUCCUGUCUCAGCAGCUCUGUCAUCUCAGGACCCCCUCUGGAGCUUUUUCACUUGCUUGCAGCCACCCUGAGCUGCUUUUUCUUAAAUCAGCUCCGCCUCACAGAGGGUUGGAGCCUGCCUGCAUCUCAGGGGCUCUGGCUGCCUCCUGUGGAGUAUGAAAAAUGCCUGUUUGCUGUCUGUCUCAUUGCCUUUAAAUCUACUUUAUGCACAACAUCUAGGUGGGCAUGUUUGCAGGCUCGGCAAAGCCAUUACUUUUCUUGGUGACAUUUUCUGGAAAUGGCUUGCAUUUAUCAUGAGGAACUGAGGACAGCCCUUGCCUACAUUGGGAACCACGCGGCCCACUUCCCAAUCGUCAUCUGUGUCUGUCUGUCCCGCAAACCCACCUGCACUCAGACCAGGGCUGGAGCUCAGGUGUGCCCUGGUCAAACUGUAAGUACAUGUGAACCAAUAUCUGGGAUCUUGCUAAACUGCAGAGUCUGGCCUAGCCAGUGUGGCUCAGUGGUUGAGUGUCAACCUAUGAACCUAGAGAUCACGGUUCAACUCCCAGUCAG
Miniopterus natalensis is the source of this 1282-nucleotide long non-coding RNA. RefSeq lists it as uncharacterized. The record is from RefSeq and is a predicted model, not a curated record. Lineage: Eukaryota; Metazoa; Chordata; Mammalia; Chiroptera; Miniopteridae.